CCCGCUGAACUUAAGCAUAUCAAUAGGCGGAGGAAAAGAAACUAACAAGGAUUCCCCUAGUAACUGCGAGUGAAGCGGGAAAAGCUCAAAUUUAAAAUCUGAGGGUCUUUAUGGCCUUCCGAGUUGUAAUCUAGAGAAGUGCUAUCCGCGCUGGACCGCGUACAAGUCUCCUGGAACGGAGCGUCAUAGAGGGUGAGAAUCCCGUCUUUGACACGGACUACCAGGGCUUAUGUGAUACGCUCUCAAAGAGUCGAGUUGUUUGGGAAUGCAGCUCUAAAUGGGUGGUAAAUUCCAUCUAAAGCUAAAUAUUGGCGAGAGACCGAUAGCGAACAAGUACCGUGAGGGAAAGAUGAAAAGAACUUUGGAAAGAGAGUUAAAAAGUACGUGAAAUUGUUGAAAGGGAAACGCUUGAAGUCAGUCGCAUUGGCCAGGGAUCAACCUUGCUUUUGCUUGGUGUAUUUUCUGGUUAAUGGGUCAGCAUCAAUUUUGAUCGGUGGAAAAAGAUCAAGGGAAUGUGGCAUCUUCGGAUGUGUUAUAGCCCUUGGUUGUAUACAUCGAUUGGGAUUGAGGAGCUCAGCACGCCGCAAGGCCGGGUUUUUAACCACGUACGUGCUUAGGAUGCUGGCAUAAUGGCUUUAAUCGACCCGUCUUGAAACACGG
This 660-nucleotide ribosomal RNA is filed under the name uncultured fungus. RNAcentral's name for it is "eukaryotic LSU rRNA". It matches the Rfam family "Eukaryotic large subunit ribosomal RNA", at positions 24 to 664 of the family's 3401-position model. The record is from RNAcentral. Lineage: Eukaryota; Fungi.